Molecule: ribosomal RNA, 247 nt
Filed under: uncultured bacterium
Lineage: Bacteria
Description: partial 16S ribosomal RNA
Rfam family: Bacterial small subunit ribosomal RNA
Source: RNAcentral
AUACGUAGGUGGCAAGCGUUAUCCGGAUUUAUUGGGCGUAAAGCGAGCGCAGGCGGUUGCUUAGGUCUGAUGUGAAAGCCUUCGGCUUAACCGAAGAAGUGCAUCGGAAACCGGGCGACUUGAGUGCAGAAGAGGACAGUGGAACUCCAUGUGUAGCGGUGGAAUGCGUAGAUAUAUGGAAGAACACCAGUGGCGAAGGCGGCUGUCUGGUCUGUAACUGACGCUGAGGCUCGAAAGCGUGGGGAGC